Long non-coding RNA from Diabrotica virgifera virgifera (western corn rootworm), 2284 nucleotides. RefSeq lists it as uncharacterized. The transcript is spliced from 2 exons. The record is from RefSeq and is a predicted model, not a curated record. NCBI's taxonomy places the organism in Eukaryota, Metazoa, Arthropoda, Insecta, Coleoptera, Chrysomelidae.
UGAUACUGACCUUUAGUUAAUUUCUUUUACUUCAGUUAAUUUAUUUUACUUUCAUAAAUACCAGGCUGGUUCCUUUCUAGCUCAUUUCUAUAAUAUCCGCCAAGUAACUACAAUUGGCAUCCAGGAGAAGGGCGUGGCCCUAGCCUUAACUCGUCUGUUUUGGCCCAGAUAAUAGUAUGUUCCCCAGAAAGUAACCACAUCGUGAAUAGUAGAGUACCAGUUCCUCAAGACAGUCACCCAUGGGUUCGACGAACAGUUAAAUAGCUCCGUAGGCAAACAUCAUGCAUCAAACUUCCACCUGGCGCCUCCCGAAGAAGAUCUGGAGCUGUGGAUAACCUAGGACAGCACCGGAAGAAGCCUUCACACCACAAGCUAAGUCUUUAAUAGUAUCUUGUACUUGCCUGUCAGCAGAGACAGUUUUUUUUAUAUAAAGUAACUUCACAAUUACCAGAAUGUAGAUCCUGAAUUAUAUCCAAAGAAAUGGUACCGAAAUUCAUUCCUAUUUACUGAUAGUAUACCGUAUGCCUGGAGAAUGCAGAGGAGUAGAAUUCAGUGGCGUACUGAGCAUGAUUCCGCGGGUUCCUCGGCACCAUGGCCCUGGCCACGCGGGGGCCCGCUCUAACGCGCUUUUUGCUUCUUUUGGUUCUAAUUUGAUGGGGACAUUGUGAACUACAUAAGUACACACUAAGAAAUGUGACUGUUUGUGACACUAAGAAAUGUGUGUAUAGUAUUUUUACUACAAAAGCGAUAUUACGUAGGUCAAAAUUUUUGACGUAAGAGAACUGUCAAAACAUUAGAAUGUGACUUUUCUAUACAUAGUUACUUAUAAAUAAAAACGAAGAAUGACUAUUCAUCAAAAAAUUUGAAAACAAUAUAGGCAAUAUGUAGUGGUAAGGAUAUAUAAGGAUAAAUAUAGACACUAAUUUCUUUUUAAGCAAAUCUCGUCGUUUGACAAAAGAUCAACCCCACCGUUAUCCAAGUUUUUUUUUUAUAUUUUUUAUUUAACCGUUUUAUCUCCCCAGAGGUUUGUAUGUAAUUAUUUAACUUAUUUAUAAAUGUAUCAUAAUAUGAAAUUUGAGAAUCAAUUUUGUUGAUAUAAAUUUCAUUCCAAUGUUCAUUUUUUAAAAGCUGUUUUAGUUUUCCGAUAUUAAGGUUUCUAAUUAUGAUUGGAGAUUUCGAUGUAGACAAUUUUUGAGUUUCAUUAUUUAUAAAAACGGCUGGCGUAAAUUGAUCAAUCAUGACAGUAUGAAAAGCGAUAGAAUUAAUAUUACUGUUUAGACAUUCCAUUGAUUUUUAAAAAGUUUACAACAUCAAAAGUAAGUAAGUUACGAUCAAAAUAAUUUUGGUGUCUUUAGCAUCCCAAACGAAAUUAAUCGUUACCGCUUCACAAAUUACUUUACUUAUGUAUUGUUUAUAAGAUAUGUAAGAUUCGUUGGUUCAAAAAUGGGCUUAAACGAAUCACUAAUCACGAGUGUAUGCAAAUUUUGAACAGCCGUAUCUUAUAUAACCAAUUUUUGUCUUCAGGAAACCAAAAAGUCCAAAAUAUUCACAAUAGUAAAACCAAUAUUUUUUACUAGUUGCGUAGAAUAGGUAUUUAAAAAAAAAUGUUUUUUCAAAAAUAAGUACUUUCAAAAACUUACAGAUCAUGUAAACAAUACAUAAGUCAAGUAAUUUGUGAAGAGGUAACGAUUAAUUCUAUUUGGGAUGCAAAUUAGGGGGUGAUUUUUACGAUUUUUUUACCAAAAAAGGGACCAACUUUAUUUUGAGCAUCACACUUAAUAUUGAUGCUAGAAACUAAAAGAAAAAAUACAAAAAAGCGCUUCAUUUUUUGGAUAUUUAACGUUGAAAUAUUAUUCGAAUUGGACUUUGACGAAUAACAACCUACUUUUCAUUACCUAUAACUCUGCUUCUCCUGUGUCUACAGACUUCGCAUAUACACCAUUUUUUUCACUUUUUUAUGGGCUAUAUUGUUAUUAACAAUAUUUUUUAAAAAAACCGUCUCCACAGGUGUUUUUUUUUGUGAAAAAUGAACAUAUUCACUCACAAAUAUCUCGAAAAGUAUUGACUUAGUGAAAAAACUCUACAGAACUAAAGUUGCUUAGAAUUAGUCAGUUUGUCAAAUUCCAGACUUAUCUUGAACGUAUGUUUUUCACCUCCGAGAAGGGGUGAAACUUACCCUCUGGGCAAAAGCACACAUCGGCACAAUAUAUAUCACUUAAUAUGAUUUAUUUUAUGAUAUAUUAUGAUUUCUAUUUAAUGUUUAUUAAAAACUUUUGAUAUACAA